Molecule: ribosomal RNA, 1990 nt
Filed under: human gut metagenome
Description: bacterial LSU rRNA
Rfam family: Bacterial large subunit ribosomal RNA
Source: RNAcentral
UUAAGUGAACAAGGGCAUACGGCGGAUGCCUUGGCGCCAAGAGCCGAUGAAGGACGCGGUAAGCUGCGAAAAGGCAUGGGUAGGAGCAAGCAUCCUGUGAUCCAUGCAUAUCCGAAUGGGGCAACCCACCAUCAGUCAUGUGAUGGUACGAAAGAGGCAGACCUGGGGAACUGAAACAUCUAAGUACCCAGAGGAAAAGUAAUCAAUUGAGAUUCCCUAAGUAGCGGCGAGCGAAAGGGGAAGAGCCCAAACCAUGAAACUUCGGUUUUGUGGGGUUGAGGACCGGCAAAAAGAGGAAACUUCUUAGUCGAAUGGUUUGGAAAGGCCAUGCACAGAAGGUAAAACACCUGUAGGCGAAAAGAAGUCAAUCGGGCUGGUAUCCAGAGUACUGCGAGACACGUGAAACCUUGCAGGAAGCAGGGGGGACCACCCUCCAAGGCAAAAUACUACUUGGCGACCGAUAGCGCAUAGUACCGUGAGGGAAAGGUGAAAAGAACCCCGGGAGGGGAGUGAAAUAGAACCUGAAACCGUAUGUCUACAAGCAGUCGAAGCACCUUAAGAGUGCGACGGCGUGCCUAUUGAAGAAUGAACCGGCGAGUUACAUUAUGUUGCGAGGUUAAGUGGGAGACACGGAGCCGAAGCGAAAGCGAGUCUUAAUAGGGCGACUAGUAACAUGGUGUAGACCCGAAACCGCAGUGAUCUAUCCAUGGUCAGGUUGAAGCGCAGGUAAAAAUGCGUGGAGGACCGAACCCGUGAGUGUUGAAAAACUUUGGGAUGAACCGUGGAUAGGGGUGAAAUGCCAAUCGAACGCGGAGAUAGCUGGUACUCCCCGAAAUAGCUUUAGGGCUAGCCUCAGGGAAGAUUAUAGACGGUAGAGCACUGAUCUGGCAAGGGGGCGUAAAGCCUACCGACCCUAGUCAAACUUCGAAUGGCUAUAAUUAAGACCCUGGGAGUCAGACUGCGAGUGAUAAGACCCGUAGUCAAGAGGGAAACAGCCCAGACCGCCGACUAAGGUCCCCAAUGCUGUACUAAGUGGAAAAGGAUGUAAGACUUCAUAAACAACCAGGAUGUUGGCUUAGAAGCAGCCACCAUUAAAAGAGUGCGUAAUAGCUCACUGGUCGAGAGGCCUUGCGCCGAAGAUGUCCGGGGCUCAAGUACAGAACCGAAGUCGCGGCAGGAUUAUAUAAUUCUGGGUAGGGGAGCGUUGUAUAUCCGACUGAAGGUGUACCGGAAGGAGCGCUGGAGGAUAUACAAGAGAGAAUGCCGGUAUGAGUAGCGAAAAGAACAGUGAGAAUCUGUUCCACCGAAAGCCUAAGGUUUCCUGAGCAACGCUCGUCGACUCAGGGUAAGUCGGGACCUAAGCCGAGGCAAAAAGCAUAGGCGAUGGACAACAGGUUAAUAUUCCUGUACCGCUUCAAAUCGUUUGAGCAAUGGAGUGACACAGAAGGUAGCUUGAGCACGCGAAUGGAUGUGCGUGUCGAAGGUGGUAGGUUGCAGUAUAGGCAAAUCCGUACUGUAUAAGACCGAGAACUGAUAGAUAGACGAUACUUCGGUAAAGUCAAAUUCAAGUGAGCCAUGCUGUCGAGAAAAGCUUCUAGUGAGAGAUGAGGCGCCCGUACCGAAACCGACACAGGUAGGCGGGGAGAGAAUCCUAAGGUGCGCGGGACAACCCUCGUUAAGGAACUCGGCAAAUUGUAUCCGUAACUUAGGGAUAAGGAUAGCCGGAGGAUGUGAAGGGAUUUACUUCUGGAGCGUCAGCCGGUGGCACAAGAGAGGCCCAAGCGACUGUUUAGCACAAACACAGGUGCCUGCAAAAGAGAAAUCUGACGUAUAGGUGCUGACACCUGCCCGGUGCUGGAAGGUUAAGAGGAGGGCUUAGAGGCAACUCGAAGGCUUGAAUUGAAGCCCCAGUAAACGGCGGCCGUAACUAUAACGGUCCUAAGGUAGCGAAAUUCCUUGUCGGGUAAGUUCCGACCCGCACGAAAGGUGU